This is a long non-coding RNA of Oreochromis niloticus (Nile tilapia), 3328 nucleotides long. RefSeq lists it as uncharacterized. The transcript has 7 exons. Lineage: Eukaryota; Metazoa; Chordata; Actinopteri; Cichliformes; Cichlidae. The record is from RefSeq and is a predicted model, not a curated record.
ACACUAGCACUGUAUCAACCCCCUAUAAUUAUCUAGUAGCCACACUCUGUAACAGUAAGACUCGAUGAUUAGACAUAGGGGGUUACAGGUAGUCUCCCAACAGUCAGCAAAACAAGUCAUAAAACAAUAAAAGCGGGUUCCUUAUCAAGAACAUCCCAGCACACACAUCCCAACUGUAGUUCCAUAGUUUCCACCUUUUUUCAUUACAAACAGUUCCUUUAUCUCUCCAUGUCAGAGGUCAACUGAAACCAUGUCCAACUGAACCUCCAAAGGUUUUUCCAGGACAAUGACACCUCCUAGUGACUAACUGUACCUCUGUAGUUUCAACCUUUUUUCAUUACAAACUGCUCUUUUAUCUGUCAAUUACACUUUCUACUGACCAACCGAACCUCCGAGGGGUUUUCUUUACAUCCUACUCUUUUAUCUCUACUUCUCAGAGGUCAACUGAAACCAACCCCACCUAUAUAAAAACACCCUAAUCAGACUGUCACGGUUCUGGGUCAGUGUUGACCCAGCAUUUUGAGUUUCUUAUAUUUUGGUUUAUUUUUGCAUUAUGGAUUAUUUUCUGAUGUUCUGGUGCUUUGUUCAUUAUUAUUAUUAGCAAUAAAGCUGUGUAUUUUGAAGUUUCUUCCGCCUCCGUGAGUCCUGCAUUUUGGGUCCUCUCUUCCUGCCUGCCUACAAACAGACAUGACACAGACACCCUGUAUUUUUCCUCACUACUACACAUCAGCCCUUGCGAGCACAACGCUUCGUUCAGCAGGACGGACAGCAAAGCUAACAGUGUUCUUUUGUUGUUUAACAUGGAGUUCAUAUAUGCCUGAUUUUUAGGAGCUCAUCACAACAGGACAGCAUACAUUUCACAUACACAAGUUGCUGUCUCCCUGUGUUCAGUCAGAGUCUGUGUGUGUAGUUCAGUCUGCGUUAUGUUUCCUGUUUUACUUUGGAGGAUCACAAGCCUAUAUAGGGCAAACUACACCUAAAAAACACAGGGGUCAAUAAGCUGUCCAGAAAUACCUACAGCAGCGGGAGCAAUAAGACCAAGCCUUACAUUAGACCUGAGACAGAGUACGCAGCGUGUCAAGAACCGGGGCCAUCCAGAAUAACACAGACCAAUGUCAAUCACACAACCCCUUCCCACGAUGCGGACCAUGACGACACCUUGAUGCUUUUGGAAUAUAUACGCGAUAUUGAACUCCCAGAACAACAAGAAAAACCACAAGCUUUGUGCAACAAUGGAGACUAAGAACCAUUCUUCAUCACCGGACCAUACAUACACGCGAGUGCCUGCCUUGUGAUUUCAGCGAUAUUCCUGAGUACAGCCUAUCAGAUUUCAAUAUAGUUGACAUACCCACCACGCCAGAAUGUCUCAGAAACAACAGUGAUACAGACAUAGGUUUUGAAGAAGGCUGCAUAACAGACUCGCAAAUAUCACAGACAUAUAACGCAUACUUAAAUGCAGCAAACACCUCUAAUUUUGAUCAGAGCCAUUCUGCUUCAAACAACGAUAUACUAUCUUUGAUCGAUGCUAAACUCAGCCAACAUCAACAAGCAGUACAGAGGGAUGUGCAAGAAAUAGCAGCUAAAGUCAGCCAACAUCAAGAAGCAGCACAGGGGGACUUGCAAUUAAUAGCAGUGGCUCUAACUAGUACCCAGCAGGCAAUAAACAAUACCUGGGGUUUAUUAGAUCUCAUUAGUACCAGAUUGUUAAAUCGCUGACUUUUAAAGUCUACACCAUGGACCCACCCUGUAAAUUAUUCAAACACAAUGAUGGUACCUCCACUCGAGCUAAAUGGUUUCACUUUGAGGCUUUUAACCAGUGGGCUGCGCAAAUAAUAAACAAAUGCGAAGUUUUGCAUGCAAGACUUAGUAGUGUCGCUGUAGCAGACAGUCCUGUGUCUAAUGCACGUCCUUGUCCAACUCAUUCUGAAGCUGUUGCCGAUGAUGCUGUUUAUAUCGAUGUUGUUGCUCAUGCAACCGAUUCACAUCCGGAUAUGCUGCUGCUGCCGCUGCUGUAGGGACUGUUGUUAUUCAGGCUACCGCUGAUUGUCUUAUUGCUGAGGCUUCUGUCACAGCUGAUCGGGAGUGUGCACCUGGCGUACAUGCGUAUCUGGGUGCCGCUACAGCUGCUGCUGACGCAUCACCACACAACCCCUCAAACAAUGGAAAUUCCUUAAGUGUUAACCAUUCACAAACAGGUGCUGCAGUAUUCGAGCCCAUUGUUCAGUCUGGGGCAGGCAGUCACAGUCAGCGUAGCAUUAGAGAGAUACUUAAUUUCAACGCCCGAGAAUUGCGUGAGCGCCUUGAUUUUAGGGACAUAAGUCUUGAUGAUCCAGAACAAGUGUCAGAAAGAAUUAGAAGCUGCUUAGCCAAUGUGAUAGAGCUGUGGCUGGAUCUCAGCAGGGUCAUGUUCUAAAUGUGGUCCUGCGUGGACCCUCUUUGGCUUCAGAUGGUCAAGCUGUUUUAAAUCCUGAUGAUCAGUAUGACCCUGACCUGUUUCUCGACCAAAUAGCUCAAGUUAUGCAAAGUAAUGACGAAUUUAUAGGUGAUGGUGAAUUAGAGUUUAUUGUCACGGUUGUGCAAAACAGUAGCGGUGGCGGCGGUGCUAUAAUUCGCAGGGUUUGUGGAGUGUUCUGCUGGUGAGAGAUAGCAAACCACAGAUCGUUCUAUUGAGAGAUAUGGAGCCAGAGAGGCAGAGGAGAGGUUCUGUCGUGUGGGAGUAUUUUUGUUUGAUUUUGGUCAGUUUUGGUUGGGUUUGCCAGUUUUGUGUUCUUUUUUUUUUUUCUUUCUUUUUUUUCUUUUUUGUGGGUUUAUUUUAUCUAAAAACUUGUCAAAUUGUCAAAAAUCUGCUUUUCAUAAUGUACAUAUCAUGAAAUAACUUUAGAAAGACUUCCAUUUGACUCUUUUACAUUUAAUGUAAUAAAAAAUAUAUACUUUAUUUUUAAAGUAAUCUUAAAUGUUAUUCUACAAAUGUGCAGCAAUUUAAUGUGUUUAUUCUUUUUAACUGAUAGUCUGUGGAACCCAGGACGACCAGAUACCUGCAUCUCUACCAGUUUCUGUGCACUCCAGCCUCUUCUGAGAGGGUUUUUUUUAAGGCAGGAGAAAUUACUCCAUGAAAACAAGCAGACUCGGCCAUCACACAGUGGAACAAAUUCUCUUCUUAAAUAAAAAUGAAAAAGGGUUACCUUAAAUGCAUCAUGUUUUUAAUUUGCAAGUUAAUAAGCAAUUUCCCUUUCCAGUUCACAAUCAAUUCUGCCCCCAGGUCAAAAAUAUGUAUAAAAAUAUUGGCCUAAUAUAAUAUUAUUAAUAAACAUACCUGUUCAGCUGUCCA